Molecule: ribosomal RNA, 253 nt
Filed under: uncultured prokaryote
Description: partial 16S ribosomal RNA
Rfam family: Bacterial small subunit ribosomal RNA
Source: RNAcentral
UACGAGAGCUCCAAGCGUUAUCCGGAAUUAUUGGGCGUAAAGGGUGCGCAGUCGGUUUUGUUAGUCUUUUGUUAAAUCUCCGGGCUUAACCUGGAAACCGCAAAGGAAACGGCAAAACUAGAGAGUGUGAGGGGUGUACGGAACUCUACGUGUAGGGGUGAAAUCCGUUGAUAUGUAGGGGAACACCAAAAGCGAAGGCAGUACACUGGCACACAUCUGACGAUCAUGCACGAAAGCGUGGGUAGCGAAUGGG